Molecule: small nucleolar RNA, 96 nt
Filed under: Drosophila persimilis
Lineage: Eukaryota; Metazoa; Arthropoda; Insecta; Diptera; Drosophilidae
Description: snoRNA:GL28011
Source: RNAcentral
UUACUAUGAUGAAUGUCCAUCCUUGCGCUCUGAGCUCAACCCUGGGCAAAGCGGAUAGCCUUGGUACUUGCAACUGCGCGGCAGAUGCAAGCUGAU